AGAACACCUUCCGGUCCAGCUGAACUCCUGGCCCAGGGUGAUUCACUGUCCUCACAGGAAUCCGGAACAUCUGAUCUCCCUCCAAAAGCAAAAUUCAGGAAGUCAGACCGACCCCUAAAGAGGCCGGGUGGGACUGUACUGCUACUGGCUUCCUAGUCUUCUCCAUGAUCCUACAGCCCCGUCCGUAAUCCCACGAAAUGCUCCAGGUCACUACUUACCGGGUUCUCUCUUCCACCAAGCUGAGAGGGUAGAGUCCAUUUUUAAACCGAUGCUGUCACUGGCCUCUAGCCAAACACCUCCAUUCUGGACCUACAAUGGCUGCUACAUUUUGCCAAAACCCUGAAGUACCCUGAGUCAGUCACAUGUGUGCCUAUUUGCAUAUCUCAGUCAGAUAGAAGCUCCCAGAAUUUCACGUGGCUUACUGUGGCUACUUUGUGUCAUUACAUUUUUUUCAUCAUAAAUUUUACCAAAAGAAGUGUGAUGUAGCAUAAGGCAUAAAAACAGAGGGGGAAAAAAAGCCAGCCAGUUUCUUCCUUCUGCAUAUUAAGGCAAUCUUAGGAGCCACAAAACAAAUUCUCAUGGUUCGAUAAUAAUGUAGCUUUUCAACAUCUGAAUUCCAAAGUAUGGAAUUCCGGAGAGCCUUCAGAAGUUUUCUUGAUGUGAUUUAGUUGCAAUUUCUGUAAUCGGAGUUCUCAGAACCUCAACGUAUCUUUAUAUGUUGAAAACAACCCCAUCUAUCGAGUCUUCUUUCCUUGCCUUUCUUCCUAACUCAGUUGGGUAUGGAGGGCGGUAGGGGAGGCUGCCCCUUCCCCAGAGCACACAGGGUAAGAGCUGCUUGAUUGUCCUAGCACUUCCUAACCAGGGAUGCCAACCCGCACAGCCACUUCAUGUGGGAGGCACUAUCACUGUCCACAUCUGAGGAAUGACAAGCUAGACUCAGAAAUCUAGUAGACUGACCAGCCAUCUGGAUCCAGAACCUCUCCCCCUCAGCCGCUAAGUGACAGUGUGACUUGAUGGGAUCUUAGGCUACUUAGUAAUUAGGAACUUGAUAUUCCCCGCUAAGGGCAAUGGAUUUCAUUCCCCGUGAGUGAGUCAUUCUAUGGGAAUGGAAAGACUGGCUCACUGAGCGCCCUUCCCACCUCAACUCUUCCUUCUCAACACUCCACCUGUGUGUGUCCGUUGUAAGGUCUGAAACACUGACCAUCGACAAGCCACGGGUCACCUGACGCCCUGAGUGCAAUGUGCAAGCAGUGUCUGUGGAGGCCAGAAAAGGAUACUGAAUGGAACUGUAAUUACAGAUGCUUGAGAGCCACCAUAUGGAUGCUGGCAAUCAAACCCGAACCAUCUGCAAGAGCAGCCAGUGUUCUUCAUCACCGAGCAAUCUCUCCAGCCCUCAAGCUCUUUACACCUAUCUUAAUUCCUUUAGGAGAAGCAGUUAAAGAAAUGGAUGCUUAACGUUUACUUACUUCACAUUUCAUAAUUUAAAAAUGUUAAACAGGAUGCUAACAAAACAUGGACCAUACAACAAUCGUAUUUCAGGCUUUGAGCCUUACACUGGAUCAAGGCAAAAGUCUGCUGCCUUGAAAAUGGGUGUGUGAAGAGCCCAGAGGGCCAGAACGUGAAGUUUCUAGAAGUAUCUAUGGAUUUGCAGAUAAACCUCAGGAUUGAGCAUAACUGGGACAUCAGAUUAUUAACUAAGUUCCAAGGCAAGGGUGCAAAAGGAAUUCUGUAAAUCUAUUUGCUUAACAGUCAAAUUAUAGAAAACUAGAGAAAGUUAUAAGCCCAAGUGAGAACACUGAUGAUCAGGUAUAGAUGUCACCGAGUUAAAACCACCCAACCCCUGGGCAGAUGCUUCCCUCCCCAUUUCUCUGGUGUAAAUGCUAAAUCACUAUUCAGGAGUCUGCAAGGUGACAUAUUUUAAAGUAAGAGCUUACAGAGUUCAGGUACCUGUAUAUCUACACCAAGACCUGGGCAGAGCUACACCAGGCCACCAACACAGUUACACCAGGCCAUCACCACAGUUAAGCCAGGACAUCAUCACAGUGACACUGGGACUUCCUGACUCCCAAGUCCACAUUGAUCUUUCUAAAAAUUCCGGUUUCCCCUUUCAACACUUUAGAGGUCCCUCACACUUCAGAGAUUUCUAGGGCAUGGACAGGAUACACUGCACAUUUUAUUUCUUAGACAGCAAAGGUAAGUCAAACGAAAGCAAUGAUUGCCCCUGUGCUGUGGCCAAAUAAGUCAGUCCAUAAUUAAAAGUGUGUAACACAAUAUUUGCUAUUAAUAAUAUUAUCAGUUUGUUAAACAGAUUAUCAGAUUUUUUUUUUCAACAACACAGCUAGCUAAACACGACACUUUCUGUCCAGCCAAACUGGGUGUGUGUAUCUGGGCCAGAAUUAUGUACCCAUCCAAUGAACACUGUCACACUGAGAAAAGACAGUGUCACAGAAUCUGGAGACAUCUUCUUUUGAACAUGAUGUGCCAGGGACAACUUCACAUGGAAGUAAGGUUUAACACGUUUGCUGCAGCUCUCCACACAAGAGGUAUUGAGCAGCAGUGAAGGCCAGCCAGGUCGCCAUUGUUGAGGCACCGUCACAGGUCCAGUUCUCAUUUUGAUGAGUGAGAGCCGAGGGCACGUCAUACUCAGCACUACACAGAAAAACCUGCCCAUCUCCACCCCCAUUCUCACUGCCGUCUUCCUGCACAGGCAGAGCAGGAGGAGGCGGUGCUAGAUUGGAGGGACAAAUCCUCUAAGAUGGGGAGAUGACUGAAAUACAGCCAGGGGAAAAACGCUCAGAGCCUUGAUGCAGUGGGGUGCCCUGGACCCUGAUCUAAUGGAUCUGGAAGCCUCCUGCUGGAAGAGAAGUGUCUCAGGAUUAUACAACUCAGAAGCCCAUUCCUACUGUCCUAAGCUCUUGUGCUUAAAACAGACUUUACUGUAAACGAGGUGACCACUGAGCUUUCUGUAAAUGCCUUUCUGUAAUCAUUAGAGAAAAAACAAACAAAAACUCAGCUUUUAAAAAGGGGUCUGUGUUAGCUAGUUUUUACAUCAAGUUGACACAAGAUAGAAUCAUUUUGGUGUGACCGGACUGAGGGCAAGCCUGUGGUGCGUGUUUUAAAAGUGAUGACUGAUGUGAGACCCUGGGCUGGUGGUCCUGGGUUCUGUGACAAAACAGGCUGACAAAGCCAUGGGGAGCAAACCGGUACACAGCACACCUCCAUGGCCUCUACAUCAGCUCCUGCCUCCAGGUUCCUGCCCUGUUGGGAGUUCCUGCCCUGACUUCCUUAAGCAAUGGAGGGUGACCUGGGAGCUGUAAACUGAAAUACAUCCAACUGAAACAUGGAGUGUCUUCCCUCAGACAUCCCCAAACUGUCUAUGGACACCAUGAUGUGUUGAAACCCCAUGACUACUUCACAGAGUCGGAGACAACCACAGAUGUAAUGCAGAAGCUUAGUGUCUGAUGCAUGAGUAACACAGAGAGUCAAGAUUCUGUCCGGCCAAUGUGGGUGAACAACCCACCUCCUCCCUACUUCACCACUCAAAUAUUUGUACAUUAGGGAGGUAGGUAUAAGUAAAAAUUUCUACAGAACUCAGAAAAAUGGCAUUGUAAGGUUUGUGAAGUUUUGAAAGCCCCCAAGCCUUCAGUCUUGUGUGCACUGUGGAAGAAUAUGAAUGCUACAGAUUCUACAUGGGCCUCCGUGUGGAAGGCUGUUUAACAGGCAGCUUGGAACAUUUGGUCGUAUCGUGAUUCAGUUGGCUAUCCUAUCAUGCCACUUACAAAAAAUAGGGUUAUAGGACAUUCCUAUAACCCUAGUCCUUGGGAGGCAGAGUUGGGAG
RNAcentral lists this long non-coding RNA (3838 nucleotides) under Cricetulus griseus (Chinese hamster). RNAcentral's name for it is "lncRNA (ENSCGRG00015032775.1)". The record is from RNAcentral. Lineage: Eukaryota; Metazoa; Chordata; Mammalia; Rodentia; Cricetidae.